This 413-nucleotide long non-coding RNA is filed under the name Rattus norvegicus (Norway rat). RNAcentral's name for it is "long non-coding RNA NONRATT031987". Lineage: Eukaryota; Metazoa; Chordata; Mammalia; Rodentia; Muridae. The record is from RNAcentral.
CCUGGAAGAGUCCUGAUCGGCCUUAUAUGACAUUAGAUCUAAGAUGGCUCCCAGAACACCAGAGACACAGCAAAAGGAAUGGAGAGCAGAAGCGCAGAUCGGUGUCCACAAAAGGCUCUUCCUCAGGACCAGUGCGAAGUGCUUGGGAAAGGGUCAGCCAAUGUGAUAGUACUCCUUAAAAAACCUGAGAAAAUGGACAGCAUUGUUGGGAGCUUGUGAGCUCCUGUCACAGUACCGAGCUUGAACAAUGUCGAUUAAAGCCCCAUGCUUGAGACUGUCAUUAGACCCGCAUUAAAUUACAUAUCUGGAGUGUUAAAACAUAAAGAGUACAGUGGCUUUUUCGCAGCUACCUAAGGUAGGUAGUUAAGGCCCUGAUUAUCUUUAAAGGUCUAUUUUUCCCCUCCACUGAAAGC